UACGGAGGAUGCGAGCGUUAUCCGGAUUUAUUGGGUUUAAAGGGUGCGUAGGCGGACGCUUAAGUCAGCGGUAAAAUUGCGGGGCUCAACCUCGUCGAGCCGUUGAAACUGGGUGCCUUGAGUGGGCGAGAAGUACGCGGAAUGCGUGGUGUGGCGGUGAAAUGCAUAGAUAUCACGCAGAACUCCGAUUGCGAAGGCAGCGUACCGGCGCCCUACUGACGCUGAAGCACGAAGGCGUGGGUAUCGAACAGG
RNAcentral lists this ribosomal RNA (252 nucleotides) under uncultured bacterium. RNAcentral describes it as "partial 16S ribosomal RNA". It matches the Rfam family "Bacterial small subunit ribosomal RNA", at positions 524 to 776 of the family's 1533-position model. The record is from RNAcentral.